This 411-nucleotide long non-coding RNA is filed under the name Populus tremula. RNAcentral's name for it is "long non-coding RNA (PTRE_LNC001100)". Lineage: Eukaryota; Viridiplantae; Streptophyta; Magnoliopsida; Malpighiales; Salicaceae. The record is from RNAcentral.
CAUCAUGGUCCAAUUUCAACUAAUAAUACAACCUUGAUGAAUGAUUUGGAAACCUACGAAAACCUUGAAUCAGGUAACGUUUCUUAAAAACUUACACAUUUUAUUUUAUUAUUUAUUAAUUAACACAUUUUUAUUCUAACAUGUUUAAUAUUUUAUUUUGUAGAAUUUGGUGGAAAGUUGCAUUUAGCAACGGAUGAUAAUUAGUUCACAAAUUGUGAAUUUGUGAUGCAUGUAUUGAAAACGUAUGGUAUAAAUAUAUAUUUUUUAAUUUUUAUAUCUUCUGAUUUAAUUUAUUAUGUUAUAAUUCUAGAUUAUGAAUUUCAGGAAUCAAAGUGCAAUGCUCUUGAAGUGCUUUUUUAUUGAGAUGAUGUGCACAUGAAGAUUUAUUUUUUGUGGCUUGGAGUGUUUUAU